UACGGAGGGUGCGAGCGUUACUCGGAAUCACUGGGCGUAAAGCGCGCGUAGGCGGCUUUUCAAGUCAGGGGUGAAAUCCCACGGCCCAACCGUAGAACUGCCUUUGAAACUGUAGAGCUUGAGUGUCGGAGAGGGUGGCGGAAUUCCAGGUGUAGGAGUGAAAUCCGUAGAUAUCUGGAGGAACACCGGUGGCGAAGGCGGCCACCUGGACGACAACUGACGCUGAGGUGCGAAAGCGUGGGUAGCAAACAGG
Molecule: ribosomal RNA, 253 nt
Filed under: uncultured bacterium
Lineage: Bacteria
Description: partial 16S ribosomal RNA
Rfam family: Bacterial small subunit ribosomal RNA
Source: RNAcentral